RNAcentral lists this ribosomal RNA (806 nucleotides) under Bacillus mycoides. RNAcentral describes it as "partial 23S ribosomal RNA". The stretch from base 728 to 806 matches the Rfam family "Bacterial large subunit ribosomal RNA", at positions 725 to 803 of the family's 2925-position model. Lineage: Bacteria; Bacillati; Bacillota; Bacilli; Caryophanales; Bacillaceae. The record is from RNAcentral.
UUUAUCAAACGAUACUCCAACCUUCCCCAUCUCUAUUCGUAUAUCUUCAAUUUGUCCAGGAAAUCCAGUAUCUAUUAAAACUGCCAUUUCAUCAUCCCAUAAAAGAAUUGGGUGAAUAAUAUACUCUUGAAAUUCAAGAUGUAACAUCUCUACCCCUUUAGCAAUCUCCAUAACAUUAUUCUCCUUUAUAACGAAAUUUUUGAAAUCUAAAAAUUGGCCUGAUAAACAAGUAAUUCUAAAUUACAAAGCCCCGCUAUCGUUUAAUAUGUUUCGUCAUACCAAUCGAAAAUCCCUCAAAUCCAAUUGAUUCAUAGUAAGAUUUUAAAUCUUCAACACACAUAAGUUGUGGAAUAACUCGUUUUUGUUCACAGUGCCGGAUUAAUCGUUCCACUAUUUCCUUUCCAACGCCCAUGGACUGAUACUCUGGCAUUACACAUACACCGCAAAUAAUGCCCGUUAUUACACCAUCUGAUAUUACUCGUCCCAUCCCAAUUAAUUGUUGCUCUUUAAAAGCAUAUAUCACAUACCAACUUUGUUUACACAUUUGCUCUAACUCAUUAACCGAUAAUUCAAGAGAAUUCCAUCCUAAAGAUUCAUACAUAGUUAAUAAUUCAUUGAAAUCUUUAGGGGGUUCAAUCGUGUAAUUUAAAAUAGUUUUCAUGUAAAUACUCCUUAUCAUCCUUUUUGUUUUUAUUCCAUAAAAUUUUUGACCGUCGUUAAACUAACUGUGAUCUACCCAUGUCCAGGGUGAAGUUCAGGUAACACUGAAUGGAGGCCCGAACCCACGCACGUUGAAAAGUGCGGGG